UACUUAGUGAGAGCCCAUUCCCAAAUAAA
This 29-nucleotide non-coding RNA is filed under the name Rattus norvegicus (Norway rat). Lineage: Eukaryota; Metazoa; Chordata; Mammalia; Rodentia; Muridae. The record is from RNAcentral.